Molecule: ribosomal RNA, 443 nt
Filed under: uncultured bacterium
Lineage: Bacteria
Description: partial 16S ribosomal RNA
Rfam family: Bacterial small subunit ribosomal RNA
Source: RNAcentral
CCUACGGGUGGCAGCAGUGGGGAAUAUUGGGCAAUGGGCGCAAGCCUGACCCAGCAACGCCGCGUGAAGGAAGAAGGCCCUCGGGUUGUAAACUUCUUUUAUCAGGGACGAAACAAAUGACGGUACCUGAUGAAUAAGCCACGGCUAACUACGUGCCAGCAGCCGCGGUAAUACGUAGGUGGCAAGCGGUAUCCGGGUUUACUGGGUGGAAAGGGGGUGUAGGCGGGAGAGAAAGUCAGACGUGAAAUUCCAGGGGUCAACCAUGGAACUGCGUUUGAAACAGUUCUUCGUGAGUGAUGGAGAGGUAGGCGGAAUUCCGUGUGGAGCGGUGAAAGGCGUAGAUAGACGGAGGAACACGAGUGGCGAAGGCGGCCUGCUGGACAUUAACUGACGCUGAGGCGCGAAAGCGUGGGGAGCAAACAGGAUUAGAUACCCCUGUAGUC